CCUACGGGUGACAGCAGUGAGGAAUAUUGGUCAAUGGACGAGAGUCUGAACCAGCCAAGUAGCGUGAAGGAUGACUGCCCUAUGGGUUUUAAACUUCUUUUAUAUGGGAAUAAAGUGUUCCACGUGUGGGAUUUUGUAUGUACCAUAUGAAUAAGGAUCGGCUAACUCCGUGCCAGCAGCCGCGGUAAUACGGAGGAUCCGAGCGUUAUCCGGAUUUAUUGGGUUUAAAGGGAGCGUAGGCGGAUUGUUAAGUCAGUUGUGAAAGUUUGCGGCUCAACCGUAAAAUUGCAGUUGAAACUGGCAGUCUUGAGUACAGUAGGGGUGGACGGAAUUCGUGGUGUAGCGGUGAAAUGCUUAGAUAUCACGAAGAACUCCGAUCGCGAAGGCAGCGUACUGGACUGAAACUGACGCUGAGGCUCGAAAGCGUGGGGAGCAAACAGGAUUAGAUACCCGGGUAGUC
RNAcentral lists this ribosomal RNA (460 nucleotides) under uncultured bacterium. RNAcentral's name for it is "partial 16S ribosomal RNA". It matches the Rfam family "Bacterial small subunit ribosomal RNA", at positions 338 to 795 of the family's 1533-position model. The record is from RNAcentral.